GAUGAACGCUGGCGGCGUGCCUAAUACAUGCAAGUCGAGCGAACGGACGAGAAGCUUGCUUCUCUGAUGUUAGCGGCGGACGGGUGAGUAAAACGUGGAUAACCUACCUAUAAGACUGGGAUAACUUCGGGAAACCGGAGCUAAUACCGGAUAAUAUUUUGAACCGCAUGGUUCAAAAGUGAAAGACGGUCUUGCUGUCACUUAUAGAUGGAUCCGCGCUGCAUUAGCUAGUUGGUAAGGUAACGGCUUACCAAGGCAACGAUGCAUAGCCGACCUGAGAGGGUGAUCGGCCACACUGGAACUGAGACACGGUCCAGACUCCUACGGGAGGCAGCAGUAGGGAAUCUUCCGCAAUGGGCGAAAGCCUGACGGAGCAACGCCGCGUGAGUGAUGAAGGUCUUCGGAUCGUAAAACUCUGUUAUUAUGGAAGAACAUAUGUGUAAGUAACUGUGCACAUCUUGACGGUACCUAAUCAGAAAGCCACGGCUAACUACGUG
RNAcentral lists this ribosomal RNA (497 nucleotides) under uncultured bacterium. Its description in RNAcentral is "partial 16S ribosomal RNA". It matches the Rfam family "Bacterial small subunit ribosomal RNA", at positions 28 to 507 of the family's 1533-position model. The record is from RNAcentral.